This 1067-nucleotide long non-coding RNA is filed under the name Sarcophilus harrisii (Tasmanian devil). RNAcentral's name for it is "lncRNA (ENSSHAG00000003265.2)". The record is from RNAcentral. Lineage: Eukaryota; Metazoa; Chordata; Mammalia; Dasyuromorphia; Dasyuridae.
UGGCAAUAAUAUGCUUCCUGAAAAAGAGGUAGAAAGGCAGGAAGAGAAGGCUAUGGGUCAUUUUCUCAGAGGCAGAAGAGAUGAGAAGAUUAUCUAUCUUGCUGUUUAAGCUCUAGUGGAUGGCUAGACGGGAAGCACCAAAUGAUCUGGUUCAAUUCAACAGCUUAAAAUAAUUAACAUUUAUUGUUCUUCAGAUGUUGCCUAAAGGAGUUACAUGAGCCAGAUCUGGGGUAGACUACAAAGCUAGGGCUCACCAGCUUUUUUAGGUCAGUUUUUUCCACUAUUUGUCCUAUUCCACUUUGAACUCUUCAGAGUUGUCUAGAACUGCUCCCUGCUCCACAAAAACACUUCUAUGGAUCUACCUUGAGUUUCCAUUGGGACUUUUCCUUUGAAUUGGAAAAAGACAACUUAUUCUGCUGCCUUUACUUCCAUUUUAGUACUUGGAGUACUAAAAUGUACUCCAAGAUGCACUCAGGUGGGCAUUAAAAGAAGUACUGUAGUGGUGGUCACUCUGGGGACUAAGACUGAGGGUGGGCCUUUGUCCCUGGCCUAGAAGGAUGGUCUUAAGAAUUGGAAGACAUGACAUAAGGGGCAUUAGUAGGCCUUUCAAACUCAGAAGUGCCUGAUCUGACCUGAACUGGCCUCCCUUCCUCACUAGCCUAAUUUUUCAAAAAUUGUCAUUCCCUGGUUUAGACAAAAAGGUAGCCCACAUCAAGAUUAUUCCAACCCAUUUAGAUUUAUGAUUAGAUGAAAUAAUAACAAUAUGUGUCCCAGAGGCAUAAUAAGGCAUUGGCAGAAUAAGUGGGUUAUACUGGGUCAUGACAAGCAUUUCAGUUUCAUUGGGUCUGCCUUUAUUUCUAAAAAAAAAAAAAACUAGUAAAAGUCCAAAAUACAUAUACCUAUACAUAUUUACAUAUUAUACAUAACAGUGCUUCUUCCUGCCUUACCAUCACCCUCUUCCUACUUGUCCAGAAUUAGGUUGCCAACUGGCCAGCAUUUGAUCAUCUUGGCUGAUAUUUUAUCAGAGAAACUUGCUGCUGUCACUAAAGACUGCAGUUAACCAUUUG